Sorex fumeus (smoky shrew) is the source of this 2389-nucleotide RNA transcript. It is a transcript of the gene named Wnt family member 4, with no coding region annotated. The record is from RefSeq and is a predicted model, not a curated record. Lineage: Eukaryota; Metazoa; Chordata; Mammalia; Eulipotyphla; Soricidae. The transcript has 6 exons.
GCGCCGGCGGGGGGCGAGGCGGGGCGAGGCGGGGCGGGCGGCGCUGCAGUGCCCGACGCGGCGGGCUGGGGGAGCUGUGCCCGCCUGUCCCCAAGGCCCGGGCGGGGACCGGCCAGCUGGGUCGCCGCGCCUCUGGGCUGGCAGGGCGAGGCGACGCGUUGCCAAGCGCGCCUGGAGCGGGCUCGGGCCCCAAGUCCUCCCGGGCGCCCGGCCGGGGAGGCCCCGGGAGAAGCCGGGUCCCGCGGGGAAGGGAGGCCGCCGGGGCUGCCGCUCCGGCCCGCCCCCGGGGUGUCCCGGGCCGCUGGACCCGCCCAGGUAACCCCAUCCUCGGCCCGCCCCCGGCCCGCCCCCCCGGCCGGCCGCCCGCCUCCGCCGCCGCUCGCAGGCGCUGGGGCGGCGCUGACAGUCUAGUCCGCGCCGGGCAGCGGGCGCAGCAGCGGGCAGGGCUGCCGGCAGGCACGGAGGCAGAGCCCCGCGCGCGCCCCGGCCCGCGCCCGGCGCCGCGCCCCAGCCCACCCGCCGGCGCCCACCUGCGGCCCGGACGGGAGGCCCCCCGCGGCCGGGCGCCCGCGGCCGCACCAUGAGUCCCCGCUCGUGCCUGCGUUCGCUGCGCCUCCUGGUCUUCGCCGUCUUCUCGGCCGCCGCCAGCAACUGGCUCUACCUGGCCAAGCUGUCGUCGGUGGGAAGCAUCUCGGAGGAGGAGACAUGUGAGAAGCUCAAGGGGCUGAUCCAGCGGCAGGUGCAGCUGUGCAAGCGGAACCUGGAGGUGAUGGACUCCGUGCGCCGUGGCGCCCAGCUGGCCAUCGAGGAGUGCCAGUACCAGUUCCGGAACCGGCGCUGGAACUGCUCCACACUCGACUCCCUGCCUGUCUUUGGCAAGGUGGUGACACAAGGGACCCGGGAGGCGGCCUUCGUGUACGCCAUCUCUUCGGCAGGUGUGGCCUUCGCCGUGACACGCGCCUGCAGCAGCGGGGAGCUGGAGAAGUGUGGCUGCGACCGGACGGUCCACGGGGUCAGCCCCCAGGGCUUCCAGUGGUCCGGCUGCUCGGACAACAUCGCCUACGGUGUGGCGUUCUCCCAGUCGUUCGUGGACGUGCGGGAGAGGAGCAAGGGGGCCUCAUCCAGCCGCGCCCUCAUGAACCUCCACAACAACGAGGCGGGCAGGAAGGCCAUCCUGACACACAUGCGGGUGGAGUGCAAGUGCCACGGCGUGUCGGGCUCCUGCGAGGUGAAGACGUGCUGGCGCGCCGUGCCACCCUUCCGCCAGGUGGGCCACGCACUGAAGGAGAAGUUUGACGGCGCCACCGAGGUGGAGCCACGCCGGGUGGGCUCCUCCAGGGCGCUGGUGCCACGCAACGCGCAGUUCAAGCCGCACACGGACGAGGACCUGGUGUACCUGGAGCCCAGCCCGGACUUCUGCGAGCAGGACAUGCGCAGUGGCGUGCUGGGCACGCGGGGCCGCGUGUGCAACAAGACGUCCAAGGCCAUCGACGGCUGCGAGCUGCUGUGCUGCGGCCGCGGCUUCCACACGGCCCAGGUGGAGCUGGCCGAGCGCUGCAGCUGCAAGUUCCACUGGUGCUGCUUCGUCAAGUGCCGCCAGUGCCAGCGGCUCGUGGAGCUGCACACGUGCCGGUGACUGCCGCCCUGCGCCCGGCGCCGCCACCACGGGCUGGGGACAGCCGGCCGUUCAAACAGUUCCCCUCGCCACCCGCCCCCAAAGAUACUGGUUGUAUUUUUUGUUUUGGUUUGGUUUUUGGGUCCUCCUCUUUUAUUUAUUGCCGAAACCAGGCAGGAGACACGUAACCCCCCUGCUCCCCGGGCCCGACAGGGCAUCUGCCGGGGUCUCCCUGAAGCCUGGACCUCGGUGGCUGCCACUGACCAAAAGGACGUUGCUUGUGCUUCCAGCUGUCCACAUGUGGCCGCUGCUGACCGCUCUGCUGUCACGUGUCCGUCUUUCUACCUGCACACUGAAGGGGGCUCCUCCGGGGGUCUGAAGGCUGCGACCUGAGCACAAACUGGACUCGAGCAACCUCUGCCCCCACCCUAACCGCUCCCCUGAAGCCAAAGGAAUCCACAAUUGCAGGAGAACGGAGCUACUUGGACAACCAGCUCAAACUGUCCCAAAAGAAAAAGAGAAGGAGCUGGCCCGGGCCCGACGCAGCGCCCCCACUCUGGAACGGCAGGCGGGUCUGCGUUGCGCGGAAAGCCCUCUCCAGAGCCUCGCCCAGGCCAAGGCGAACUACUGGGAAGAGAAGUCCCAGUUCUGGAUGCUGCUACACCCCUGCUAUCCCCAUCCCACCCUCCAGUUUUAUACCAGGUCCUCGCCAUUGUGACAUCCCCCAUCCCCCCCGAAUAGUCUGAUGCACGAUAAAAUGAUUAUUUCUUUAUC